Molecule: long non-coding RNA, 3879 nt
Filed under: Podarcis lilfordi (Lilford's wall lizard)
Lineage: Eukaryota; Metazoa; Chordata; Lepidosauria; Squamata; Lacertidae
Source: RNAcentral
GACAUAUCCCAAGUUGCACUGAAGGUGUUACCGAUUCUCCUGGCACCCAUUUGCAAGGAACUAUCCAUGGUAGGUUUUGGGAUUUACUGUAUAAUCUGCAUGUAUCAUUGAAAAAUGCUUGUUUCACAUUUCCUGCAGUACGUGCUUUGUCUGAGACAUUGCUAAGAAUACAUCUGAUUUCCCAUUUUAGCUGCAAAACGAAUGACUGCUAUAUAGCUGCUGGGCUGUUGUAUGUUUCGGAUCAUUUUUAUAUCUCAGUUUUGUUCCUGUACAACCAUGUCUGACAGCAAUGAGUCAGGGGCUCACUCUUCGAAACACUGUUGGCAUUUCUAUUAAAUAUAUGUUGAUCUAAGGGGUCUGCAUUUAUCUAACAGGCCUGCUUGUAAUGAGGCCUGUAGGUUCCUUGUUUACCAAGCUUCAAAGAAACAAAAGGUGACCUUAUUAUACAUAUUGCUUUCCUGUAAAAAUAUCAACAGUUAGUUCUGCUCAAGGGAAAUCACCCUUAAUAAGGUCCAAGGACGGAGGCAGACACUUCUGGCAGUUUCACUUUCAGGAAUCAACCACCAGCACUUACUUUAAAAACAUCCUGGUUAGGGAGAGAGAAACAUACUGUUUUAUUUUUUAUUUAUUUUUUAAGGAGGAAAGUAUUUUAAAAAAUGUGACUGGAAUGAAGAGGUUGCAAUUGCAACACUACCUGAUACAAUCUCCCUUGCCAUUGUGCAUCAGGAUAAUAGCUGGCUGCAUCACUAUUAGAAUAAUAGCCACUUAAACAAUUGCAACUGGGCAUAUAAGUAACAAAAGCAUUAGACACUUGGCGUAGCACUCUUAAGAGGCUGAUAACAGUAAAGCAUCAUUUAUUGCACAAUCUGAUAAUGAGCAAGGAGUAGAGGUAUUUCCAUGACUUUAGAAGAAUUCAGACUUCCUACCUUUCUUUGCAAGAUAGCUGGAAGGUAUGUCCCUCUUUAAAGAAAGUUGUAAGUAAAACCAGGUAGCAGUUGCAGUAAAUUGAGUCCUUUUCAGUCAGUGUGUACAAGCAGCAGUUCUGCUGGAAGGGGGAAAAAUAGAAUGGGAGGAGCAGCUGUGAACGAGUGACCUCCUGAAGCGGAGUUCUCUUUGUGCAUCGAGCACUUGGGAGCCAGUGGCUCUGAUUUGCAUGGAUUAUCUCCACUUGAACAGAUACAUUUAAAUUUAUCUGGCACAGUGGCAAAAGAUGGAAGAGUAAGUGAGUGCGAGAGACAAGAGAGAGAGAGAGAGGGAGAGAGAAAGAAAGGGAAAAAAAGCAGACAAGUGAUCGGAAAGCUUGGCUGGGGAAGCUAGUUCAGGCUGAACUAGGCAUGUGUCUGAAGAACCACAGCUCCCUCUUCAUGUCAUACUCAUAAGAGGAGAAUUGCUGUCAUAAAGGACUGCUUAAAUGCAAGGAGGGGGGAAGAAAACGAGACGCUCUCUUUCAUUAGGUUAGGUUUUUUUAAAAUGAAGAUUUAAAAGUAAGAGUCGCUGUUAGUAAUCAUAGUAAUGCAACUGCUGUUUAGCCUUAAUAUGAAACUUCAGAGUGUUCAUCAAAGUGUUCCACAUAUAUUAUCUUGGUCGUCCUUGCAACAGCCCCGUAUAGGAUGCUUUUAUUAUUCCUGGAUCACGAGGGGAUUGCUUGUGCUGAGACACAGCAGCUGGCCUAGAGCCUGGUACUCAGCGGCAAGCAGGGCAAGGUUAUAAGCUGUAUGCAGAAGUAAGUCCUACGGAGUUCAGUGAUACUUACUCCCAGUUUAGAAUUUAGGAUUGCAGAUGUGCAGUGCAAUUCUUUGCAUGUUUGCUAAAAAGUAAGACUCCAUGGGACGUGGGUGGUGCUGUGGGUUAAACCACAGAGCCUAGGGCUUGCUGAUCAGAAGGUCGUGGUUCGAAUCCCCGCGACGGGGUGAGCUCCCAUUGCUCGGUCCCUGCUCCUGACAACCUAGCAAUUCGAAAGCAUGUCAAAGUGCAAGUAGAUAAAUAGGUACCGCUCUGGCGGGAAGGUAAACGGCAUUUCCGUGCGCUGCUCUGGUUUGCCAGAAGUGGCUUAGUCAUGCUGGCCACAUGACCCAGAAGCUGUAUGCUGGCUCCCUCGGCCAAUAAAGCGAGAUGAGCGCCGCAACCCCAGAGUCAGCCACGACUGGACCUAAUGGUCAGGGGUCCCUUUACCUUUACCUUUAAGACUCCAGUACAUAGAAGCCAGAUCCUAGGGGCUUAGGUCCCUUUGCCCCCCCCAAAAAAAUAUUUAAGGGGGAUGGGAUCCCCAAGGUUGAUGGGCAUUGCUAUUCAAAUGGUGUGUGAGUGCACACUGCAUCUUUUGAGUGAUUAUUUAUUCAAAUUGGCACCCCUGAUCAGUGGCACUUACUCCCAAGUAUGUGAGCAGAGGAUUGCAGUCUCAAUCAAAGAGCACAACAAAAGUAAGGGCAGGAUGAUAACAUGUGUUCUUAAACCCCUCUGAACACCAGGAAUAUGCACCAAUCAGAAGGGCAUCAGGAGACACCUUGCUGAAGUAUAUAUGAGUAGAUAUAUAUAUAUAUAUACUCAAUCAAUCAAUCAGUCAGUCUCAAUGCAGAUCCUACCACUGCACAGGCUAUGACAAGGCACCCCAGACAGGUAAGUGAGUGGAGGAUCCACCAGGGAAGGAAAGUCACUGCCUCAACACAAUCAUCUCUCCCCACGCCUGCCCUCAAGCCCUCCAAGAUGUACAGGGCACUCAAACCCAAUAGCUAAAACACGAAUCCCUCUUCCUCCUAAGAGAUGUAGACACCAUGUCUUGGAUGAACAACAUUGCACACCAGGUUGUAUCAAGGUCACCUGCCAACAGGAUUAAGGGAAAGAUGUAUACUGCAUGUGGUGAAGGUUGCAAAGCCCUAAGCUGCCCUCUUCUGUGCCAAACCAUCUACCUCAGUCCUGCCUUUGCUGACUGGCCACAGGUCAGCAAAGACCCUUGAGAUGCUGGUGGUGAACCUGGGAUUUCACCAUGCAAAACGUGUGCUCUGCCAAUACAUGAUGGCAUUUCCUCAAAGGAAAUGGGAAGCAGGGUCACCUUUUCUGGGAAGGAAAAAGUGUUCCAUAACAUGCCAUAUUAGUCAUGGGAAAACACACAGGCAGACAUUGUGCAUUCUCUCUGCAGGUCCAAAGACAGGAGAAAUAUCGGCAGAAGAAAUUUUAGCAGAUGACAGACACUUCCUACCAUGGAUGCGUGAGAGUUAUCAGUGUCAACAUAAGUCACACCUGCACUAUCCAUUCAAAGCUAAAUCAUGCCACUUUAAACAGUCAAAUUCUGGCAGCUAUUGUUUGUAUGCAUAAAGUUGUUAGGAGACCCUGAUCUCCUUCACAGAGCUAGAGUUCCCAGAGUGGUAUAGCAAUCAUCUGUUUUCACAGGGAAUGCUGGGAAUUGUCAUUCUGUGGGAGGGGGAAUAGGGGUUUCUUAACAACUCACAGCAUAUUUAGUGAACUACAGAAUGCUUCAGGGGGAGCCAGGUCUGUUUAAAGUGGUAUCAAAGUGCUUUAAAUAUAUGGCGUGAAUGUAGCCACUCAGCAGAUGAAACCCCUGUCAUAGAUGCUAUUGUAAUGACUCAGUCAAUGCACUUUGGAAAUGGAGGCACUUUUCUCAACGACGAUUCUCAAUGGCCACUCACUCCCAGGCUGCAAUCUAUUAUACUUUAGUAUCCUUGUGUUUCUCUGUUUUCUCUUCAUAGGCAAAGAGGCAGCCAUCCAACAGGAUGCCAUGGCAGCAGAAAACUAAAAAUCAAAUACAGUUAACCCACCACAUGAUCACGAGAGAGGACACUCAGAAGUCUGGGAGGCUAAAUGUCACCCAAGCACUACGGAGGAAACAAAUUAAAUCAACACUUGAGUGAAGCCGCACAACCC